AUUGAACGCUGGCGGCAGGCUUAACACAUGCAAGUCGAGCGGGGGAAGGUAGCUUGCUACCGGACCUAGCGGCGGACGGGUGAGUAAUGCUUAGGAAUCUGCCUAUUAGUGGGGACAACAUCUCGAAAGGGAUGCUAAUACCGCAUACGUCCUACGGGAGAAAGCAGGGGAUCUUCGGACCUUGCGCUAAUAGAUGAGCCUAAGUCGGAUUAGCUAGUUGGUGGGGUAAAGGCCUACCAAGGCGACGAUCUGUAGCGGGUCUGAGAGGAUGAUCCGCCAAGCUGGGACUGGGACAAGGCCCAGACUCGUACGGGAGGCAGCAGUGGGGAAUAUGGGACAAUGGGGGGAACCCUGAUCCAGCCAUGCCGCGUGUGUGAAGAAGGCCUUAUGGUUGUAAAGCACUGUAAGCGAGGAGGAGGCUACUUUAGUUAAUACCUAGAGAUAGUGGACGUUACUCGCAGAAUAAGCACCGGCUAACUCUGUGCCAGCCGCCGCCGUAA
RNAcentral lists this ribosomal RNA (500 nucleotides) under uncultured bacterium. Its description in RNAcentral is "partial 16S ribosomal RNA". It matches the Rfam family "Bacterial small subunit ribosomal RNA", at positions 30 to 523 of the family's 1533-position model. The record is from RNAcentral.